GGCGCCUCUCCAACCUUAUCCUCCUCCCAGAGUAACACCUUUCACACAUCCCUUUUCCCUUUCUCCGCGUCGGCGCGUCCAAAUCCUCCCGCUCCUCCUCCCCUUGAACUCCUCGCUGGAGCAACGGAUCCACCGGCUCUGACGCCGACAAACGCGGGUCAGCUAGAUCCAGCGCCACCUGCUCCAUACUCCCCCGAAUAUUCCACUUACGAGCCCUGCCGCCACGUCUGGAGGUCAUGUUCCCCACUUCGGUGCUGCCGCCGUACUUGCGGCUCUCCCCCUCUUCCUGCUGCUCCAGCUCUAGCCCUCCCUCCGCAACAUCCUCUCCUUUGCCCUACUCGCCGGAGCAAUGGGGAUACCAGACUGCCGGCGAUGAGUCCGGGGCAGCCAGAUCCAGCGCCACCUCACCCAUGGCAGUUGCUCUGGCGCGACGAUGGCCAGGGGCCGCGCUGCCCUCCUCAGGUUAAUACAGAAGUUAGGUGAAGAAGGACCCGGGCAAGACUUACAGGCAAGCUACCUCUCCAUGGUAUUUAUGAUCUCUCUCUUCCCACCCCAUGUCUCUUUCUUCCCUCCUGCACGCAUGGAGAAGGGCCCUUGUGGAUUUGAUUUGUGAAGAGAAGCAUUUUACUUUUCACCUGGACAGCUGCAAAGGGCUUUUUUCUAGAAUAUUAUUUUUUCCCUCUAAAUAUAGAACUACGCAUUUUGGUUUCUGGUGGAGAACUUGGAGCUCAGAUUUGAUUUCUCGUGUAGCUAGUAACUACUUGUAAGAUAUACUUAUAUUCAAUUUGUCGUGUAGGAGUACUUUUUUAUAGCACCUUUCUUCAGUGCUCAUUUGUUUUCAGGGUUUAAACAUAUUUCUGAUAAUGAAACUAUUUUUUUCAUCUUUCAUAAUGAUAAAGUGUAGCUAUUUACAAUUAUCAAUUUUUUUCAUUUUAUUAGUGUUAGUGAGAAGAAACAAUUGUGCUUUUGUGCAAGUUACUGAAAUUAAGUGGAGAUAAAAUUCUUGUUUUAUUGAUAUGAUGCAAUUCCUUUUCUUGAGGAUUGCUUCCAUGAGCCAGCCAGUACAACACAACUAAAUUCAUAUGGAGUAUGAACCAACUGUACAUAUAUCUGUAGUUUGAUUUAGAGAUGCCUAAAAUUUACUUGUGUGAAAUUA
Molecule: long non-coding RNA, 1156 nt
Filed under: Oryza sativa Indica Group (long-grained rice)
Lineage: Eukaryota; Viridiplantae; Streptophyta; Magnoliopsida; Poales; Poaceae
Description: lncRNA OsLaMu_01g0032420
Source: RNAcentral